UCUCUAUCUAUCUCUCUCACACACACUCGAACCCACGCUCUCUCAUAUACGCACGCACUCUUUCUCGCGCUCUUUCUCUCUUCACUCUCCAUUCUCGCUGUCAAUAACUUUUUGGGGUUUUCCACAGAAGUAAAAGAAAUGUAAUGUCCGAUGAUAAGCACCUGAUGAAAAAUAUGAAGCAUUCUGCCAGAUAGAGACUACAGUGUGGCGAUUGCAGACGCGUACCUUCAGUGCACUGUCCCAGUGGCGCCAUCCACAUGAAGUGAGCACAGGAGAAUUCGACACAGCGCUGUACUCAGAGGAGUGAGGAUUACACAGUUUACUCAACGAAUCAGUUGUACUAUGGACAAUAUCGCGAAUUGAGGGGGAAACAGAAGCGCCUCUCUCUCUCCCGGGCAUUGCUGGUGGCUGAUUAAAAGGAUGCCAGAUGGGCAGUGACGAAGAGGCCUGAGUUAACAGAUCGCCUGCUGCUGCUGUGUGCGUGGCACGGAUCGUCAGUGACAGUCUUGGAGGAAGGGUGUGUUCUUUGGCGUUUGAAGAGCUCUCAUCCAGCAGAAGAGUUCUCAUCCCCCUACACCCCAUCAACCUCCC
This 591-nucleotide long non-coding RNA is filed under the name Oncorhynchus kisutch (coho salmon). RNAcentral's name for it is "lncRNA (ENSOKIG00005030152.1)". Lineage: Eukaryota; Metazoa; Chordata; Actinopteri; Salmoniformes; Salmonidae. The record is from RNAcentral.